CCAGAUUCCAAAGAUAAAUCUCUACAUAAGGUCGAUGGGUUUAUCGAGAUUCUGUAUAUUUUCGAAGAGAAUGCUGAUGAAGAUCCUAAGAUUAGGGUUCCUGUGAAGGAUGAAGGAUAAAGGAAAAAUUGGGAAGAAAAUGAAAGAGGCUAUGUUUGGAAAAUGUGAGGUUGUAUGUACAGAAUAUGGCGAAGGAUGAUAGGGAGGUCAAAAGGGUGGAGCCGAAGAGUAAUCAAUCGGCUCUGCAUGUGGC
Long non-coding RNA from Cucurbita maxima (winter squash), 253 nucleotides. RefSeq lists it as uncharacterized. NCBI's taxonomy places the organism in Eukaryota, Viridiplantae, Streptophyta, Magnoliopsida, Cucurbitales, Cucurbitaceae. The transcript is spliced from 3 exons. The record is from RefSeq and is a predicted model, not a curated record.